This is an RNA transcript of Conger conger (European conger), 4618 nucleotides long. It is a transcript of the gene named protein sel-1 homolog 3, with no coding region annotated. The transcript has 24 exons. NCBI's taxonomy places the organism in Eukaryota, Metazoa, Chordata, Actinopteri, Anguilliformes, Congridae. The record is from RefSeq and is a predicted model, not a curated record.
UGUUGAUAUAUAAAAAAGAAAACUAUAAACACCACUGAUGUGUUAAAGAAAACACGGCGUUCCCGUGUUUCGCGGGGUCACUGUGCAUACCUGCAGAACAGGUGACGCACCUGUCGCUAGCCCCGCCCGUGAGACUGCCACCAUAGUUCCUCCACUCAGGAGGAAACGGCCGUUGAAGUUGUGAUUCCGUCGCUUCGUGUUUUGGGGCGAUGACGUAUGCGCGAACAUCAAAAUGUUGAUUUGUGUUAAUUUACUACAUUCAUUAUGUAAUGAGCAGCGAAGAGGACGAUGCCACGCUCACAGAACGUGACCCGAUAAACCUGGACCGGCGACGCAGACAGAAAUGAAAGUUUCUGGGAGUUUUCGCUUCAUUGCAAGCGUUGCAUUGGCCGUUGGACUUUUGUCUCUGGCCCAAGCCACGCAGGACCCGGCGGACGUGAGGGCAGCGGACCUGGUCAGGUUUGGCAACGCCCCGGCCGUGGUGAUUGACGGGUAUGUCCUGUCGGUGGUGUACCGGUGCUCACGCCCGUGCGUGGUGCGGGUGGAGCUGCUGGCCUCCUCCGGGCCGACGGCGGGGGCGGCCAUCUUGAGGAAGUCCUGGACGCGCCGGAAGCAAAUGGACACGCCGCGGACGCGCUCCCUGGUCCUCCGGCUCCCCGACGCCAUCGCGUACAGGCAGGAUUACUUCAACAGGCACGCCGUGGACGCCUCUGGCCUCACGCUGAGGGCCUGGCUCCAGCACUUGGAGGGCGGUGGCGGCGGCCGUCCCCAUGGCGAUGGCGGGUAUCAGCAGGCGCGGGCGAGCACCCUCACACGGGUGGCGUCCCUGCCCCCCCCUCUGCGCCCACUCAAGAACCACAGCAGGAGCCCCUCCUGGGGGGCGGAGCUAAUGUGGCAGCUGACCAAUGGGAAACAGGACAGACAGUGCGUGGUGGAGUCUGGUUUGGUGGACCUGUUAAAGUUUCCAUUGGCGAGCACCGGUGAGAGGUUUGGACUGAUCCACAAGUUUGAGCCUUUCGUCAACACAGACCUGGAGCAACUCCGCCUGGGAGCCACCGCGUACCCCAGGGUGACCGUCUCUGUGUGGAUUUACCUGCUGAGCUGGUGUAGCAGCGGUCUGUGUGGGAUCGUGCACCACGUCGACUCCAACAACACCUACGAGACGCCUCUGAUCCUGCUGAACGGCAAAGGGCAUAUAGUGGUGCAGGUGCGCCUGGCUUCUGGAGAGGACCAGGCCUACAAAUCCUACACAGCCCUGCGACUCAGGACCUGGCACCUGCUGCACUGCUCUAUACAGGGAACCAGAGUGCAGCUGCAGGUCACCUCGUCGGGCGUCAGCAGGGUCAGAAACUACGGUUUCCACUUUCGCAGUGAAAUCCACCACAAUGACACCGAUGGCUAUUUCGUGAUUGGCGGAGAUAAGAACAUGCCUGGCAUCAAUGGCUAUUUUGGGCCAAUCAGACAUCACCGUCUGGAGGCAAAAGAGGUUAUAAACCCUCUGUUCCCUGAGCGGACGGUGACACAGCUGGAUGAGACACAUCAGACCUGUGAGGACACUAAAGAAGCCGUCACAGCGUUUAUACGAGCACUGAAGGAGAACGCGAAAGUCACGGACGGCCGCACUUGCCGGGGCCUCUACUCUGAUAUGAGGAUCAGGUUUGGGAGGCCAACCUGCCAUUCUGUGCCUUGGAGCCAGAGAGCACAGGCCUUCCAGCGCCCCCUACUGGAGCUCCUCCGAACCACAGGCCCAAAGUUCCUCUCCCGACUAUAUGGUUCGGGGGCCCGUCAGGGUGCCCUGCGUCUCGGGGAGCGGGUGUUUGGGCUGGCCUGGCGGAGGCUGGGUCGGGGGGAGACGCGCUCCCUGCUCCUCCUGCUGCGGCUGGCCAGCUGUCUCCAGCACCACAGAGCCUCCUACCUGCUGGCUGUCACUCACCUGGCCGGGCUGGGAACACCUACUGACAUACUGCAGGGCCAUGUGUACAGUCUGAUGGCUGCUCAGGGGGAUGACCGGCUGGCGCUCAUGCACCUGGGGUACAAGCACAUGCAGGGUAUCGACGGAUUCCCAGCGGAGCACGGCAUGGCCUACAGUUACUAUGCCAACGUGGGCAAGCAGACGUGUGCCGACAGGUGGACGAUGCAGAGCACCAAGCAAUACCCAACAGAGCAUGUUCUCCUGAGUGAUGACGAGGUCCUGCAGUCCCAAAUGGACCCGACAGAUGACGUCUUCCUCUACCUGCAGUUCCAGGCCAACAGAGGAGAUGUGGAGGCUCAGAAAGCUCUGGCCCGGAUGCUGUUCUGGGGUCAGCAGGGGAUAUCCAAGGAUAUUGGAAGGGCGGUGAAGUUGUUUUCCAAGCUUGCCAUGGAGACGGAAGAUCCCCUCGCCAUGUAUGACUAUGCCAUCAUACUGUUCAAGGGACAUGGGGUGAAGAAGAACACAACCCUGGGGCUCAAACUGAUGGAAAAGGCAGCGUCUAUGGGCUUGCUGGAAGCGGUGAACGGGAUGGGCUGGUACUACAGCACCUUCAUGGCCGACACAAACACCUCCGUCAAGUACUUUGAGAAAGCAGCUCAGAACGGGAGCAAAGACGGCGUGUACAACCUGGGGCUGGCCUACCUGCACGGGACCUACCCGGGCCUGUCGGGGAAGAACGAGACUGCUGCCUUCCAGCACUUCCACAGGGCCGCGGUCUUGGGGCACUUUGACGCCAUGGUGUUGGUGGCCUGGCACUACGCUACAGGAGCCCUGCAGGGCGUGAGCAGAGACCCGGAGAGAGCCGUCAGGAUGCUGAAGCGUGUGUCGGAGAAGAACGGAUACCUGGGACAUGUAGUUUGGAGCGGCCUCCGCGCUUACCUGCGAGGAUCCAGACAGGAAGCACUUCUGAGUUACACCAUCGCCGCGGAGGCGGGGUUUGGCAUAGGCCAGAACAACGCAGCGCACCUGUGUGAGGAGUUGGGUCCCAGUUCCCGAUGUCAGUGGAGAUACCACAACCAGUCAACCUAUAACCACCUCCCACACCACAGCGGGUUCCUGAGGAUGGGGGAUUAUUAUUUCCAUGGUCUGGGAGAUCAUCCCCAGGACAUUAAGAUGGCCGCCUCCAUGUACAGCUGGGCUGGUCUGUACGGCAGUGCUCAGGGGAUUUAUAACCUGGCCGUCUUACUGGAAGCGGGCCUCCCAGUCCCUGAGAAGUUUCUGGAACGUUUAAAUAUUCCUUCUGGGCGUCAAGGGGACAAGGAGGAGAUCUUAGAAGAACUUUAUCAGAGGUGCAGGGAGAAUGAGGAGGGUUUGGAGGUGUCGCCAUGUUCUUUAGCUCUGUUCAGAGUCCAGCUGAAGAGAACAUGGAAGACCUUCUUCCACCACCCUCUGCAGUGCUUAUUGGUGGGUUAUGAGUCACAUGACACACUGCAGUGCUUAUUGGUGGGUUAUGAGUCACAUGACACACUGCAGUGCUUAUUGGUGGGUUAUGAGUCACAUGACGCACUGCAGUGCUUAUUGGUGGUUAUGAGUCACAUGACCCUCUGCAGUGCUUAUUGGUGGGUUAUGAGUCACAUGACCCACUGCAGUGCUUAUUGGUGGGUUAUGAGUCACAUGACCCACUGCAGUGCUUAUUGGUGGGUUAUGAGUCACAUGACCCUCUGCAGUGCUUAUUGGUGGGUUAUGAGUCACAUGACCCACUGCAGUGCUUAUUGGUGGGUUAUGAGUCACAUGACGCACUGCAGUGCUUAUUGGUGGGUUAUGAGUCACAUGACACACUGCAGUGCUUAUUGGUGGGUUAUGAGUCACAUGACACACUGCAGUGCUUAUUGGUGGGUUAUGAGUCACAUGACACACUGCAGUGCUUAUUGGUGGGUUAUGAGUCACAUGACACACUGCAGUGCUUAUUGGUGGGUUAUGAGUCACAUGACGCACUGCAGUGCUUAUUGGUGGGUUAUGAGUCACAUGACACACUGCAGUGCUUAUUGGUGGGUUAUGAGUCACAUGACGCACUGCAGUGCUUAUUGGUGGGUUAUGAGUCACAUGACACACUGCAGUGCUUAUUGGUGGGUUAUGAGUCACAUGACGCACUGCAGUGCUUAUUGGUGGGUUUGCAUUUCACAGCUGUAAUGUGUGUGUAUGUGUGUGUGUGUGUGUGUGUGUGCAUUUACAGGUGUAUAAUCGGCACAGCUGUAAUGUGUGUGUGUGUGUGUGUGUGUGUUUACAGGUGUAUGUAAUCGGCACAGUUGUAAUGUGUGUGUGUGUGUGUGUUUACAGGUGUAUGUAAUCGGCACAGUUGUAAUGUGUGUGUGUGUGUGUGUGUCUGUUUACAGGUGUAUGUUAUCUGCACAGCUGUAAUGUGUGUGUGUGUGUGUUUACAGGUGUAUGUUAUCGGCACAGCUGUAAUGUGUGUGUGUGUGUGUGUUUACAGGUGUAUGUAAUCGGCACAGUUGUAAUGUGUGUGUGUGUGUGUGUGUGUGUGUGUGUGUGUUUACAGGUGUAUGUUAUCGGCACAGCUGUAAUGGCAGCACUGGUUAACAGUGUGUUACAGAGCUUCUCAAACCGGGCCUCCACAGAUCCAACUGUUACGGAGCCAUCACCUGCCAAUCAGCAUGAGGUCACGAGGAAUGGCCAGCUGGGAUUGGU